This is a long non-coding RNA of Zalophus californianus (California sea lion), 377 nucleotides long. RefSeq lists it as uncharacterized. The transcript has 4 exons. Lineage: Eukaryota; Metazoa; Chordata; Mammalia; Carnivora; Otariidae. The record is from RefSeq and is a predicted model, not a curated record.
AAAAAGGAAGCACAAUGUUAUAAUAGUCAAGUGAGAAACAUCUUUUAAGUACAAGAAGUAAUCAAUUGUGUCAAAUGCAAUGGAAAGUCAAGAAGAAAGAUUCAGCCAGCUCCGAGGAUGCACACAUUCUCCUAGACUGGGCAGUGUGAGUUUCUUUCCAAGGUCGGGUUGGGACUUUAGAGUCUGAACUUGGAUCUACUUGGGAAGAGGCAUCGCAGGAUCUUCAAAGAAGAGCCUCCCUCUAUGAGAAAAGUGAACAAUUGAAAGUGCAGGAGCCUGCCCCAGGUCCCACACACCUGUUGGAGGUGUCUGUGGUAUUGUGGUGAACCAAUCAUUCAAACUUCCUCCCUUCAGGGUUCUCUACUGUGGGAGCCAUG